CAGCCCUUCCAAAUUGCAGAGAAGAUUGAGCUAGAAGUGUUUUCUUCCCCCAGAGCACACUGCUGAUAUUUCUUGGCUCAUCUCACUGAGACCAGACAUGGACCCCCUGCACACAGGGUCAUAGGAUUUGUUCAGCUGUGACCAAGAAUCUCCAGUUCUAUGGCAUAGUAGCUGAAAUGGAAAACUGCAUUUUUUACCUUGACAUCUCCUCCAUCCUAGUUUUUCAGGAUUGAUGAUUGGGGAGCCAAGAUGUGGAAGUAGCCCAAGUGUCCGUCCGUAGACGAGUGGAUACAGAAGAUGUGGAGAUACGUACGAUGGAAUGUUACUCAGCCAUAAGAAAGGAUGAAAUCUAGCCAUUGGCAACGACAUGAAUGGACCUUGAGGGUAUUAUGGUAAGUGAAGUAAGUCAGAUGGAAGAGGACAAAUUCUGUGUGGUUUCACUUAUAGGUGGAAUCUAAAAAACCAAACGAACGAACCAACAAAACGAAAACAAAUUCACAGAUAUAGAGGAUGGAGUGGUGGUUGCCAGAAGGGAAAGGGGUUGGGGGGUUGGACGAAAUGGGUAAAGAGCUCAGCUGUAUGGUGAAGGGCAGUAACUAGACUCUUUGUAGCGUAUACAAAUAUCGAGUUAUAAUGUUGUACACCUGAACCUUACAUAAUGCCGUAUACCAAUUUUACAUCAAUAAAAAAUAUGAAAUA
Long non-coding RNA from Lynx canadensis (Canada lynx), 699 nucleotides. RefSeq lists it as uncharacterized. Lineage: Eukaryota; Metazoa; Chordata; Mammalia; Carnivora; Felidae. The record is from RefSeq and is a predicted model, not a curated record. The transcript has 2 exons.